GGAGCUGUGCCUGAAGUAAAGGGCCACUUUGAUAGAGUGACUUAUGGGGGUUAAAGUCCCCCCAGCUCCU
This 70-nucleotide transfer RNA is filed under the name Triglops murrayi (moustache sculpin). RNAcentral describes it as "tRNA-Ile". It matches the Rfam family "tRNA". From Rfam's summary of the family: Transfer RNA (tRNA) molecules are approximately 80 nucleotides in length. Their secondary structure includes four short double-helical elements and three loops (D, anti-codon, and T loops). Lineage: Eukaryota; Metazoa; Chordata; Actinopteri; Perciformes; Cottidae. The record is from RNAcentral.